RNAcentral lists this small RNA (113 nucleotides) under uncultured Pseudescherichia sp. RNAcentral describes it as "RtT RNA". It matches the Rfam family "RtT RNA", at positions 17 to 119 of the family's 130-position model. Rfam says of the family: This family represents a bacterial cis-regulatory element known as RtT RNA. The exact function of RtT is unknown although it is thought that it may be involved in changing the cellular response in relation to amino acid starvation. The record is from RNAcentral. Lineage: Bacteria; Pseudomonadati; Pseudomonadota; Gammaproteobacteria; Enterobacterales; Enterobacteriaceae.
GAGAGGAUGAGAACCUCCGGGGGCAAGGAGGUUCGACUCGAGCGCAGCGAGAGAGCGUUGCUUUAGCAACGACCCGCAGGGCGAGUCACACAGUGACGAGUCAUCCUCUAUCA